UACGAAGGGUGCAAGCGUUAAUCGGAAUUACUGGGCGUAAAGGGUGCGUAGGCGGCCUCCUGAGUCUGUUGUGAAAGCCCUGGGCUCAACCUGGGAAUGGCAGUGGAUACUGGGAGGCUGGAGUGCGGUAGAGGAUGGCGGAAUUCCCGGUGUAGCGGUGAAAUGCGUAGAGAUCGGGAGGAACAUCAGUGGCGAAGGCGGCCAUCUGGACCAGCACUGACGCUGAGACACGAAAGCGUGGGGAGCAAACAGG
This 253-nucleotide ribosomal RNA is filed under the name uncultured bacterium. RNAcentral describes it as "partial 16S ribosomal RNA". It matches the Rfam family "Bacterial small subunit ribosomal RNA", at positions 524 to 776 of the family's 1533-position model. The record is from RNAcentral.